UAUAAGAGAACAGCAGAUUAAUUUGGAGUCAAAACUGGUUUCAUUAUAAUUGAUACAGGUCACAGGUCAUACUAUCUUCAUCUUCUACGUGAAAUCUGGUCGACACACAACUGAAGAAUGAAGACAGUUUUACUUCUGACUGUGUUCUCCAUUUGUCUGAGUUAUUACAUCAUUCUAGGAGCUGUCUUACCUGGAAGACUGUGUGCAAUCCCAGAAUGCGCUGCCCCGCCAUUUUGGUGUCAUUACGAGAGCAUGAUGGAUGCCAACGGUUGUAUGACUUGUGGUCAUUUGGUGUGCUCUCAAGACCCUUUUCUUUUAGGAGGAACUAACUAAAGUACAUCGACCAGGCUAAAUCUUCUUAGCUGGCUGCACCGCCAUCUGUCUUAUUGUAUGUAGUUCUAUAUACAAUGAACAAAAAAAGGUUUGACAAAUGACUCAAUAAAACUUAUUGAACCCUG
This is a long non-coding RNA of Biomphalaria glabrata, 458 nucleotides long. RefSeq lists it as uncharacterized. The transcript has 3 exons. The record is from RefSeq and is a predicted model, not a curated record. NCBI's taxonomy places the organism in Eukaryota, Metazoa, Mollusca, Gastropoda, Planorbidae.